CCGCCUCUCGCCAGCCCAGCCCCGCCUUCAGUCUAUUUCUCCACACCCAGGUUCUGCCUUCUGUGCCACUAAGCUCCGCCUUCAGCCUAAUGGCUUCAUACCGAGGUCCUGCCUCCCAGCAUGUCUGUGGACUUGCUGUAGACUCCACACCCUUCAGUAUGGCAACACAACUACUUAAUCCUUAGAGGAUGUGCAGCCAAUCAAGGUGACUAGAGGCCUGCCAGAAGAGUUUACUAAAAGAUUUCAUUUCUUGGGUAUUCAGAAACCCUUGGAACCUUGAAACCCUUGGACAGACGUUACAGACAUGAGCUGCUGUGUGGGUGCUGGGAAAUGAACUCAGGUCUUCUGGAAGAACAGCCUGGCUUCCUGACUCAUCAUUCUAGCCCCUGGAUUACUUUUCAAGACAUUUCUCAUCUGUGCCUUAAAGAAUACUAGAAUUGUAUCUUAUAAGUAUACCUUAAAGGGCAUUGUUUCCUGGAAGAAAGGUUUAUUGCAUACCAAAAUCAAUAGUCUAAAAGUAAUUAAAAUGUUUAUAAUGUAUGCAAAAGAGGCAAAUGUGUAUGAAAGUUUUCAUAUGCUUCGUCAUAGUAUUCAAGAAAUUCUGGAGAAUUUCAGAUUUUCAAGAUUGCGGACAAGUAAUCUUUUCGGUUUUCUAAUUUUUGUUUUCUUUCAGGUUUUUGGAAGGUUUACUUUCUAUUACUGCC
Rattus norvegicus (Norway rat) is the source of this 704-nucleotide long non-coding RNA. The record is from Ensembl. Lineage: Eukaryota; Metazoa; Chordata; Mammalia; Rodentia; Muridae.